GAAAUGCGAUACGUAGUGUGAAUUGCAGAAUUCCGUGAACCAUCGAAUCUUUGAACGCAAAUUGCGCCCGAGGCUUCGGCCGAGGGCAUGUCUGCCUCAGCGUCGGUUUACACCCUCGCCCUCCCCCACCCUGCGUGGUGGGGUGCUGGUGCGGAUCUGGCCCUCCCGGCUCCCCUCUCCCUCCCAGGCGAGGCUCCGGGUUGGCUGAAGCACAGAGGCUUGAGCAUGGACCCCGUUUGUAGGGCAAUGGCUUGGUAGGUAGGCACCCCCUACGCAGCCUGCCGUUGCCCGAGGGGACUUUGCUGGAGGCCCAGCAGGAAUCCGGUCGGUCCCUGUGGCCGCCGGACCACUCACUCAUUCGACCUGAGCUCAGGCAAGAUUACCCGCUGAACUUAA
RNAcentral lists this unclassified non-coding RNA (396 nucleotides) under uncultured fungus. Its description in RNAcentral is "sequence contains ITS1". The stretch from base 1 to 105 matches the Rfam family "5.8S ribosomal RNA", at positions 50 to 154 of the family's 154-position model. Lineage: Eukaryota; Fungi. The record is from RNAcentral.